Ornithodoros turicata is the source of this 204-nucleotide long non-coding RNA. RefSeq lists it as uncharacterized. The record is from RefSeq and is a predicted model, not a curated record. The transcript has 3 exons. NCBI's taxonomy places the organism in Eukaryota, Metazoa, Arthropoda, Arachnida, Ixodida, Argasidae.
AGGUGGACUGAGACAGGAAUGAGGACCUCUGCUAUUUGGCCCCUGAAAACCAAGAGCAAACAAUACUCAGUAAACGGUGCUCUUUAUUCUGCUGGUGGACUGAGACAGGAAGAAGGACCUCUGCUAUUUGGCCUCUGAAAACCAAGAGGUGGACUGAGACAGGAAGAAGGACCUCCGCUAUUUGGCCUCUGAAAACCAAGAGGU